RNAcentral lists this transfer RNA (73 nucleotides) under Camponotus floridanus (Florida carpenter ant). RNAcentral's name for it is "tRNA-Ser". It matches the Rfam family "tRNA". Rfam says of the family: Transfer RNA (tRNA) molecules are approximately 80 nucleotides in length. Their secondary structure includes four short double-helical elements and three loops (D, anti-codon, and T loops). The record is from RNAcentral. Lineage: Eukaryota; Metazoa; Arthropoda; Insecta; Hymenoptera; Formicidae.
GUCUGGAUAGCUCAGUGGUCUAGAGCAGUUGCCCGGAAAGCGAAAGACUCGGGUUCGAUUCCCGAUCCAGCCA